CCUACGGGGGGCAGCAGUGGGGAAUAUUUCGCAAUUGGGGAAACCCUGAUGCAGCGACGCCGCGUGAGUGAAGAAGUAAUUCGUUAUGUAAAGCUCUAUCAGCAUGGAAGAAAAUGACGGUACCUGACUAAGAAGCCCCGGCUAACUACGUGCCAGCAGCCGCGGUAAUACGUAGGGGGCAGGCGUUAUCCGGAUUUACUGGGUGUAAAGGGAGCGUAGACGGCGUGCCAAGUCUGAUGUGAAAGGCCGGGGCUCAACCCCGGGACUGCAUUGGAAACUGGCAUGCUGGAGUGCCGGAGGGGAAAGCGGAAUUCCUAGUGUAGCGGUGAAAUGCGUAGAUAUUAGGAGGAACACCGGUGGCGAAGGCGGCUUGCUGGACGGUAACUGACGUUGAGGCUCGAAAGCGUGGGGAGCAAACAGGAUUAGAUACCCCUGUAGUC
RNAcentral lists this ribosomal RNA (440 nucleotides) under uncultured bacterium. RNAcentral describes it as "partial 16S ribosomal RNA". It matches the Rfam family "Bacterial small subunit ribosomal RNA", at positions 338 to 795 of the family's 1533-position model. The record is from RNAcentral.